UAUUAUAAUUAAAGCAAGCUGUGAGAG
This 27-nucleotide non-coding RNA is filed under the name Mus musculus (house mouse). Lineage: Eukaryota; Metazoa; Chordata; Mammalia; Rodentia; Muridae. The record is from RNAcentral.